This 301-nucleotide ribosomal RNA is filed under the name uncultured bacterium. Its description in RNAcentral is "partial 16S ribosomal RNA". It matches the Rfam family "Bacterial small subunit ribosomal RNA", at positions 509 to 807 of the family's 1533-position model. The record is from RNAcentral.
CAGCCGCCGCGGUAAUACGUAGGGUACAAGCGUUAAUCGGAAUUACUGGGCGUAAAGCGUGCGCAGGCGGUUAUAUAAGUCAGAUGUGAAAUCCCCGGGCUCAACCUGGGAACUGCAUUUGAGACUGUAUGGCUAGAGUGUGUCAGAGGGGGGUAGAAUUCCACGUGUAGCAGUGAAAUGCGUAGAUAUGUGGAGGAAUACCGAUGGCGAAGGCAGCCCCCUGGGAUAACACUGACGCUCAUGCACGAAAGCGUGGGGAGCAAACAGGACUAGAUACCCCAGUAGUCCCUGUCUCUUAUAC